RNAcentral lists this ribosomal RNA (574 nucleotides) under uncultured bacterium. RNAcentral's name for it is "bacterial SSU rRNA". It matches the Rfam family "Bacterial small subunit ribosomal RNA", at positions 56 to 622 of the family's 1533-position model. The record is from RNAcentral.
UGCAGUCGAGCGGUAACAGGGGAGCUUGCUCCUGCUGACGAGCGGCGGACGGGUGAGUAACGCGUAGGAAUCUACCUAGUAGAGGGGGACAACAUGUGGAAACGCAUGCUAAUACCGCAUACACCCUAAGGGGGAAAGGAGGGGACUCUUCGGAGCCUUCCGCUAUUAGAUGAGCCUGCGUGAGAUUAGCUAGUUGGUAGGGUAAAGGCCUACCAAGGCGACGAUCUCUAACUGGUCUGAGAGGAUGACCAGUCACACUGGGACUGAGACACGGCCCAGACUCCUACGGGAGGCAGCAGUGGGGAAUAUUGGACAAUGGGCGGAAGCCUGAUCCAGCCAUGCCGCGUGUGUGAAGAAGGCCUUAGGGUUGUAAAGCACUUUCAGGGGUGAGGAAGGGUAACUGGCUAAUAUCCAGUUAUCUUGACGUUAGCCCCAGAAGAAGCACCGGCUAACUCUGUGCCAGCAGCCGCGGUAAUACAGAGGGUGCAAGCGUUAAUCGGAAUUACUGGGCGUAAAGCGCGCGUAGGUGGUUUGUUAAGUCGGAUGUGAAAUCCCAGGGCUCAACCUUGGAAUG